This 391-nucleotide ribosomal RNA is filed under the name mycorrhizal otidean RFLP-6. Its description in RNAcentral is "SSU rRNA". It matches the Rfam family "Eukaryotic small subunit ribosomal RNA", at positions 1202 to 1613 of the family's 1831-position model. Lineage: Eukaryota; Fungi; Ascomycota; Pezizomycetes; Pezizales; Pyronemataceae. The record is from RNAcentral.
AACACGGGGAAACUCACCAGGUCCAGACACAUUAAGGAUUGACAGAUUGAGAGCUCUUUCUUGAUCAUGUGGGUGGUGGUGCAUGGCCGUUCUUAGUUGGUGGAGUGAUUUGUCUGCUUAAUUGCGAUAACGAACGAGACCUUAACCUGCUAAAUAGCCAGGCCCGCUUUUGCGGGUCUCCGGCUUCUUAGAGGGACUAUCGGAGAUCAAGUCGAUGGAAGUUUGAGGCAAUAACAGGUCUGUGAUGCCCUUAGAUGUUCUGGGCCGCACGCGCGCUACACUGACAGAGCCAACGAGUACAUCACCUUGGCCGGAAGGUCUGGGUAAUCUUGUUAAACUCUGUCGUGCUGGGGAUAGAGCAUUGGCAAUUAUUGCUCUUCACGAGGAAUUC